UUCUCUUUCUUCUAAUGUCUUUGUGGCUCCAUUGAAACGUUUUACGGAUCUGUGUCUUGCAUCUUUGCAUUACGCCACAUAGUUUUCUGAAAAAGUCACAGGAAUACAUUUGAAAUUUAAAUUAAUCAUACAUCACAAGGGCAACUUGUUUUUAUGCAACGGAAUGCACAGAUUGGAGUAAUCGUUUUUCUUAUAACUGGUUGUAAUGUGCCAUUCAAUCAUGAUACAUGCCAAUUAAUAACACACACUUGGAAACAAGCAAACAAACAGAUCUAAAUAAAUUCGUUCCCAUAGAUGCUUUGGGUCGUGCAAGUUUUCACAAGAAAUUAAUGACCCGAAACGAAUAACAUUUCAAGAGAAUUUCUGUGAAUUUAAAUAAAGUUUAAGGGUGCACAUAAAAUAAUCAAUUCACUAACUGAAAACCAAAAUUUCCUUUAUUUCUAGGUAUAACACGACAUGUGAUCUGCAAAUUUCCACCCCUUGAGAGAGCGGAAUCUCAGUCACACCCUCUUGCAGGUAGAAGUCUCAGCUGAAACAUACCGUGCUCUAAAAAAAAUAAAUAAAUUAAUUGCUAACUGUGUUGUGCGAAAGGGUAGGUUUAAAAUUAAGUUAGAAAUUAUUGACCUUUGGUCUCAAUUUUACAUAUUUUCUUUAUUUCUAGGGACACAUCUAAUCUGGAAAUAUGCACCCCUUGAGUGGACGGGAUCUCAUUCACACCCUCUUAUGGUUAGACGACUCAGAUGAACCAUAUCGUGCUCUUAAUAAUAAAUAAAUAAAUAGAUUGCUAACUAUGUGCGAAAGGGUAGCUUUAAAUUAAGUUGGAACUAGACCCUUUGUCCUAAUUUUACCUAUUUUCUUUAUUUCUAGGGAUAACACGACAUCUGAUCUGGAAAUAGCCACCCCUUGGGGGAGCAGGAUAACAUUCACACCCUCUUAUGGUUAGAAAUGUCAGAUGAAGCAUAUUGUGCUCUAAAAAAAUUAAUUAAUUGGUAACUGUAUAGUGCGAAAGGGGAUAACACGACAUCUGAUCCGGAUAUAUCCACCCUUUGAGAGAGCGGGAUCACAUUCACACCCCCUUAUGGUUAGAAGUCUCAGAUGAAGAUUAUCGUGCUCUAAAAAAUAAAAUAAAUAAAUAAAUUGCUAACCGUAUAGUGCGAAAAGGGAUAACACGUCAUCUGAUCCAGAUAUAUCCACCCCUUGAGGGAGCGGGAUCACAUUCACAUCCUCUUAUGAAUGGUUAGAAGUCUCAGAUGAAGCAUAUCGUGCUCAAAAAAAAAAAUAAAUAAAUAAAUUUCUAAUUGUAUAGUAAAGGUCCUAAUUUAACAUAUUUUCUCUAUUUCUAGGGAUAACACGACAUCUGAUGUGGAAAUAUCCACCCUUUGAGAGAGCGGGAUCACAUUCACACCCUCUUAUGGUUGGUAGUCUCAGAUGAAGAUUAUCGUGCUCUAAAAAAUAAAAUAAAUAAAUAAAUUGUUAACCGUAUAGUGCGAAAAGGGAUAACACGUCAUCUGAUCCAGAUAUAUCCACCCCUUGAGGGAGCGGGAUCACAUUCACAUCCUCUUAUGAAUGGUUAGAAGUCUCAGAUGAAGCAUAUCGUGCUCAAAAAAAUAAAUAAAUAAAUAAAUUUCUAAUUGUAUAGUAAAGGUCCUAAUUUAACAUAUUUUCUCUAUUUCUAGGGAUUACACGACAUCUGAUGUGGAAAUAUCCACCCCUUGGGAGAGCAGGAUCACAUUCACACCCUCUUAUGGUUAGAAGUCUCACAUGAAGAUCAUCGUGCUCAAAAAAAUAAAUAAUUAAUUAAAAUGCUAAUUGUAUAGUGUGAAAGGGUCCUAAUUUAACAUAUUUUCUCUAUUUCUAGGGAUUACACGACGUCUCAUGUGAAAAUAUCCACCCCUUGAGAGAGCGGGAUCACAUUCACACCCUCCUAAGGGUAGAAGUCUCAGAAGAAGCAUAUCGUGCUCUAAAAAAUAAAUAAAUAAUUAAAUUGUUAAUUGUAUAGUGUGAAAGGGUCCUAAUUUAACAUAUUUUCUCUAUUUCUAGGGAUAACACGUCAUCUGAUCCAGAUAUAUCCACCCCUUGAGGGAGCGGGAUCACAUUCACAUCCUCUUAUGAAUGGUUAGAAGUCUCAGAUGAAGCAUAUCGUGCUCAAAAAAAUAAAUAAAUAAAUAAAUUUCUAAUUGUAUAGUAAAGGUCCUAAUUUAACAUAUUUUCUCUAUUUCUAGGGAUUACACGACAUCUGAUGUGGAAAUAUCCACCCCUUGGGAGAGCAGGAUCACAUUCACACCCUCUUAUGGUUAGAAGUCUCACAUGAAGAUCAUCGUGCUCAAAAAAAUAAAUAAUUAAUUAAAAUGCUAAUUGUAUAGUGUGAAAGGGUCCUAAUUUAACAUAUUUUCU
Photinus pyralis (common eastern firefly) is the source of this 2394-nucleotide long non-coding RNA. RefSeq lists it as uncharacterized. The record is from RefSeq and is a predicted model, not a curated record. The transcript is spliced from 4 exons. Lineage: Eukaryota; Metazoa; Arthropoda; Insecta; Coleoptera; Lampyridae.